AGAGUUUGAUCAUGGCUCAGAGCGAACGCUGGCGGCAGGCUUAACACAUGCAAGUCGAGCGGGUGUAGCAAUACAUCAGCGGCAGACGGGUGAGUAACGCGUGGGAACGUACCUUUUGGUUCGGAACAACACAGGGAAACUUGUGCUAAUACCGGAUAAGCCCUUACGGGGAAAGAUUUAUCGCCGAAAGAUCGGCCCGCGUCUGAUUAGCUAGUUGGUGAGGUAAUGGCUCACCAAGGCGACGAUCAGUAGCUGGUCUGAGAGGAUGAUCAGCCACAUUGGGACUGAGACACGGCCCAAACUCCUACGGGAGGCAGCAGUGGGGAAUAUUGGACAAUGGGGGCAACCCUGAUCCAGCCAUGCCGCGUGAGUGAUGAAGGCCCUAGGGUUGUAAAGCUCUUUUGUGCGGGAAGAUAAUGACGGUACCGCAAGAAUAAGCCCCGGCUAACUUCGUGCCAGCAGCCGCGGUAAUACGAAGGGGGCUAGCGUUGCUCGGAAUCACUGGGCGUAAAGGGUGCGUAGGCGGGUUUUUAAGUCAGGGGUGAAAUCCUGGAGCUCAACUCCAGAACUGCCUUUGAUACUGAAGAUCUUGAGUCCGGGAGAGGUGAGUGGAACUGCGAGUGUAGAGGUGAAAUUCGUAGAUAUUCGCAAGAACACCAGUGGCGAAGGCGGCUCACUGGCCCGGUACUGACGCUGAGGCACGAAAGCGUGGGGAGCAAACAGGAUUAGAUACCCUAGUAGUCC
Molecule: ribosomal RNA, 744 nt
Filed under: uncultured bacterium
Lineage: Bacteria
Description: bacterial SSU rRNA
Rfam family: Bacterial small subunit ribosomal RNA
Source: RNAcentral